AACGCAUAUUGCGCCCAUUAGUAUUCUAGUGGGCAUGCCUGUUCGAGCGUCAUUUCAACCCUCAAAGUCUCUUUUACUGACUUGGUGUUGGGGCUCUGUAAUUCAUAUGUUACAGGCCCUGAAAGACAUUGGCGAGCUUGCUGUAGGCCCGAGUGUAGUAGAUCAUUAUUUCGCUCAGGAGUGUACAGUGGGUGUUAAUCUGCCACUAAAAACACAAUUGUUUUAACAAGGUUGACCUCGGAUCAGGUAGGAAUACCCGCUGAACUUAA
RNAcentral lists this unclassified non-coding RNA (269 nucleotides) under uncultured fungus. RNAcentral's name for it is "partial contains 5.8S ribosomal RNA, internal transcribed spacer 2, and large subunit ribosomal RNA". Lineage: Eukaryota; Fungi. The record is from RNAcentral.